Molecule: ribosomal RNA, 303 nt
Filed under: uncultured bacterium
Lineage: Bacteria
Description: partial 16S ribosomal RNA
Rfam family: Bacterial small subunit ribosomal RNA
Source: RNAcentral
AGCAGUCGCCACGGGAAUACAGAGGGUGCGAGCGUUAAUCGGAUUUACUGGGCGUAAAGCGUGCGUAGGCGGCUUCUUAAGUCGGAUGUGAAAUCCCUGAGCUUAACUUAGGAAUUGCAUUCGAUACUGGGAAGCUAGAGUAUGGGAGAGGAUGGUAGAAUUCCAGGUGUAGCGGUGAAAUGCGUAGAGAUCUGGAGGAAUACCGAUGGCGAAGGCAGCCAUCUGGCCUAAUACUGACGCUGAGGUAUGAAAGCAUGGGGAGCAAACAGGAUUAGAUACCCGUGUAGUCCCUGUCUCUUAUAC